Molecule: non-coding RNA, 75 nt
Organism: Amborella trichopoda
Lineage: Eukaryota; Viridiplantae; Streptophyta; Magnoliopsida; Amborellales; Amborellaceae
Source: Rfam
UUGAGCCGUAUGCUGGGAGACCUGCAUGUACGGAUCUUAAGGGGGGAAAGUUCGAGAGGACAUACCUAUCCUAAC